ACUGAGAGAACAAUAAAUGAAGAAACAAUGAAAAGGUCAAGCACUUAUUCAGAAUUCCUCAUGAAUACCACUGAAGGAAAUCUUGCUUAUAGUGGAAAAACCCAAACAUGAGAUGCAAGUACUACAUCAAAACAGAACAAAGCCCCAUUUUUGUGUCUGUCUUCAGGAGAAUGCACUGAAUUAAAAAAAAAAGGAUGUAACAAUGUGGCAACCACAGUGACGUGCACCAUCAUCAAUAUUCCUACCAUAGUAAACACUCAUUUUCUAAUCUUACAAGUAAGAGUGGAUAUGGGAGAGAAGAAAGAUUCUUCAUUACUGCAUGUAAAAGCCCUGAAUAAAUUGCACAAAAUUGAUCUCUUGCAC
This 363-nucleotide long non-coding RNA is filed under the name Cyanistes caeruleus (blue tit). Its description in RNAcentral is "lncRNA (ENSCCEG00000002944.1)". Lineage: Eukaryota; Metazoa; Chordata; Aves; Passeriformes; Paridae. The record is from RNAcentral.